UGACCUUCAGGUUUGGGAGAGAGCUUCUUAGUUCAUUUGGUGCUCCCACGGAGGAACUUGAGUUGAAUCUUUGAUCCGUUUGUAGAUUUUUAGGUUUUUGGUGGAACUUUGAGUUCAUUGAUAGAGUUUCGCUCUUUGUGUGAUCUUUGAUCACAUUGGUUUGGAAAAUGAUUUUCCCUUUGGUUCCAAUUUCAGUUUGGGGAUAAUUUGUAUUUUGUAUUUUGUAA
RNAcentral lists this long non-coding RNA (227 nucleotides) under Actinidia chinensis (golden kiwifruit). Its description in RNAcentral is "long non-coding RNA (ACHI_LNC003745)". The record is from RNAcentral. Lineage: Eukaryota; Viridiplantae; Streptophyta; Magnoliopsida; Ericales; Actinidiaceae.